This is an RNA transcript of Medicago truncatula (barrel medic), 2765 nucleotides long. It is a transcript of the gene named F-box/LRR-repeat protein At3g26922, with no coding region annotated. The record is from RefSeq and is a predicted model, not a curated record. The transcript is spliced from 4 exons. Lineage: Eukaryota; Viridiplantae; Streptophyta; Magnoliopsida; Fabales; Fabaceae.
AUGGCGAGUGGAAGGCGAGUCCAGGGUGAGGAGGAACAGAGAGCAGAGGAUCAGAGUUCGCCAUGGCGAGCUAAGGCGACCAAAAACUCCUCAGAGCUGACAUGGCAGAAACCCACUGAAUUGUUUGUUUAUUAGACAAUUGCGAGACGAAGGCGGUGUAAGAAGGAACCUAAAUUAGACAACAAAAAUGAAGACAUUAUCAGUGACUUGACUGAUUCUGUUCUCCUCCACCUACUCUCCUUUCUGAACGCAAAACAGGCCGUUCAAACCUGCAUUUUGUCCAAAAGAUGGAUCAUUCUCUGGAGGAGUCUUCCCACUCUUACACUAAGUUCUUCAUACUUUAGGUCCGGAAAAAAAGUUUGAUGAAUUUGUGUCUCAGAUUCUCUCUCUUCGUGAUGGCUCAACCGCCAUCCACACUCUUGAUUUGUAUCGUCGUCAGUACAUGAAGCCUACCCUACUCCCAAGGAUCAUAGAAUACACUGUUUCACACAAUGUCCAACACUUAAUACUUGAUUACACUUGUCAUAUUGAAGACUUUCCUUCUUGCAUCUUUUCAUGUCGCACUUUAACGUCUCUUAAUCUUUCUGGUUUCAUAUACAAUGCAAUUUUAAGUCAUAAACCGAUAUUUCGAAAUUCUCUGAAUUUGCCAGCAUUAACCAACUUGUCUCUAAAGUACUUUGGCUUUUGUCGAGGUGAUGAUGGUUGUGUCGAGCCCUUUUCCACGUUUAAAAUGUUGAACAGUUUGGUCAUUGACUGUUGUAUAGUUCUCGACGCACAAAAACUUUGCAUAUCAAGUGCCAAACUUGUCAAUUUAAGUAUACUUAUGUGGGAUUCUGUUCCUGAGACCUAUGUUGGAAUCUAUUUUGGAAUUGAGCUAUAUGCUCCAAGUCUUCAUACCUUUGCUUUUACGGGUCGCUAUACUCCAAAACUUUUUGGGAGCAAGAGUGUUCUCUCUUCUAUCAAACAUGUAAGUAUUGAUUUAAGAUGUUAUUUGAACUUGGAGUCGCGGGAGACUUCAUCAAUUCUACUCAAUUGGCUGGUUGAGCUUGCUAAUAUCGAAUCAUUGAGUUUCUGUUCAAAUACUAUCAAGGUUCUUUCUUUAGUUCCUGAUUUAUUGAAGGUUGAGUUCCAUUCCUUGUGUACCUUGAAGUCACUGAAAAUAAAAACGGACCGAACUUCAUCUAUAGAUGACGACAUGGUGGGAUUUUUGAUUCAAAACUCACCCUCGGCAAAAGUUGACAUCAUAGGUUUAUAAAGGAAGAAUUUGGGAGCUCAAUAGGAACAGAGUUGCUGCCCUUAAUUAUUAGAGAUUAAGAUGGAAUUCCAAUCAAAGAGAUGUAUUUGAUUGGUAUUGUGGCUGUAGUAGUGGGAUGGGAAUAAUUAUUUUUAGAGUAAACCCUCAUUUGGGUCCCUGAAAGUGCACCUCGCUAUCAGCCACAUCCCUGGAUCAAUUAAACAAAUCAAAAACUCGCUCAAUGUAUGUUCCGUUAGUCAAAUGCAUCCAAAACGUUAACUUGAACGUUAAGUGUGAUUGGAGAGGGACCUGAAUGAAUGUAAUCCCUCCAUCUUCUGAAAAAAAUUAACAAGUUCAUAUCUUCAUCUUCCUUCAUACCCUCCAUCUCAAAACAUUCCAAAAGACAAAAAUAAGUUCUUUACAAUCAUUAUCUCUGCUCUAUCAACCAUCAAGUCUGUUAUCUCUCAAUUAUCGGUUUAAUAAUUGUUCUCUAUUCUUUUACAGGAAACAAAUGCCUAAACUUGGAUAAUAACACACCUCCCUACAUGCAACAGGUUGCAUGAAGAAGUGAGCAAAAUCUAAAACGUCAUCGGGGGUAUUGAAGUCAUUUUAAGCUGUGGCUGAAUGAAAGAAAGAAAGAAAGUAAGAAAAUUGAAUUGAAUUAAAUUGAGCAACAAGAAGAAUAGAAUUAGUAAAAGUACGUACAUGGUGAUUUUGCGAAGGAAGAGUCAAUUAAGGGCAUAAGAGAGUCUUGUGUAAUUGUUGGAGGCAAGUGCCGAAUCACCACCUUCGUACUAUCCCACAUCACCCUACUUCGAUUCAAUUCAAUUAUUGGAUUGGAUCACAUCUCCGCUGCUUCUCAAUUUCGAUGGAAUCAUUCAAUCAGAAAUUAUAAAUAAAUUAAAUUGAAAUUGUGUGCCCUAAUUUCACCCAACUUGCCGUAACCACGACAGGAGAGGAACAAGAGUGUUGUUUCUAUUUUGAGCAUGAACAAGAGGAAAUUUAAGAUUUUUUAUUUUUAUUAUGGUUUUGGGUUGUUGGAUUAUGGAUUUUGAAUUGAUGAUGAAGAAGAAGAUAAAGGGGGAAAUCAAUUUUGAAUUUUGAUUUUGAAUUGCAUAGGUAUUGGUGAGCAUGAGUUCAUGAGUAGUGUUGGAGAAGAUGAAGGAAUUGAGGGCAUUGAAGAAGAUUGAAGAAGAUGAAGGCAGAAACAUGAUUGUUGUCAUUUUGGUCCCUCGUCUAUGAGUAUAACGGACACAUCAGCACAUUUAACACCAAGUUAACGUUUUGGAUGCAUUUGACUAACAAAACAGACAUUGGGGGAGUUUUUGGUUCGUUUAAUUGAUCCAUGGAUCUGGCUGAUAGCGAGAUGCACUUUCAGGGACCCAAAUGAGGGUUUACUCUUAUUUUUAUGUCAAUGUAUGUUGUAUGCAUAAUCCUAGCAUAUCUUAUACUUUGAUUAUUGCUUAUCAAUACAAUUCUGCUUAUCUAUAUAAUCCAUUUAUUUCCUUAAAUCCUUGCAGCAAUAUGACUA